Molecule: ribosomal RNA, 253 nt
Filed under: uncultured bacterium
Lineage: Bacteria
Description: partial 16S ribosomal RNA
Rfam family: Bacterial small subunit ribosomal RNA
Source: RNAcentral
UACGGAGGGGGCUAGCGUUGUUCGGAAUUACUGGGCGUAAAGGGCGCGUAGGCGGUUUGUACAGUCAGACGUGAAAUUCCUGGGCUCAACCUGGGGGCUGCGUUUGAUACGUGCAGACUUGAGUUCGGAAGAGGGUCGUGGAAUUCCCAGUGUAGAGGUGAAAUUCGUAGAUAUUGGGAAGAACACCGGUGGCGAAGGCGGCUCUCUGGACCGAGACUGACGCUGAGGCGCGAAAGCGUGGGGAGCAAACAGG